This 532-nucleotide ribosomal RNA is filed under the name uncultured Rhizophagus. Its description in RNAcentral is "LSU rRNA". It matches the Rfam family "Eukaryotic large subunit ribosomal RNA", at positions 288 to 673 of the family's 3401-position model. Lineage: Eukaryota; Fungi; Glomeromycota; Glomeromycetes; Glomerales; Glomeraceae. The record is from RNAcentral.
UAAAAUGGGAGGUAAAUUUCUCCUAAGGCUAAAUAACGGCGAGAGACCGAUAGCGAACAAGUACCGUGAGGGAAAGAUGAAAAGAACUUUGAAAAGAGAGUUAAACAGUAUGUGAAAUUGUUGAAAGGGAAACGAUUGAAGCCAGUCGUACCUAUGGGUAAUCAGCCUUUUGGGUGUGAUUUUGUGGAGCGUGAAGAGUUAAACGCCUUCAUGCCUGCAUAUUCGUGCACUUUGGGUGUACUUGCCCGUGUGUAAGUUAACAUCAAUUUUGGUGGUCAUAAAAUGGCUGGAGGAAUGUAGCUUCGAUCUUGUAUUGAAGUGUUAUAGCCUUCGGUAGAUGUGACGAUCGGGAUUGAGGAUUGCAACGGAUACCCUUCGGGGCUACCUGUCUGAUCUCUGAUUGUUGCUCUGGUGCCGAAAGCUUGCUUACGGUUAUCAAAGUCGAUGGUCAAUAGGUUAGAACGGGUUAAAUUCGUUAAGGAUGUUGACGUAAUGGCUUUAAACGACCCGUCUUGAAACACGGACCGAGGAG